CAGGUGCCGGGGCUUCUCCCGUUU
This 24-nucleotide transfer RNA is filed under the name Cyrtodactylus philippinicus. RNAcentral describes it as "partial tRNA-Cys". The record is from RNAcentral. RNAcentral also lists the same sequence under 2 other names. Lineage: Eukaryota; Metazoa; Chordata; Lepidosauria; Squamata; Gekkonidae.